Molecule: non-coding RNA, 427 nt
Organism: Nematostella vectensis (starlet sea anemone)
Lineage: Eukaryota; Metazoa; Cnidaria; Anthozoa; Actiniaria; Edwardsiidae
Source: Rfam
UGACCUCAGAUCAGGCAAGGCUACCCGCUGAAUUUAAGCAUAUUAAUAAGCGGAGGAAAAGAAACUAACAAGGAUUCCCCUAGUAAUGGCGAAUGAAGCGGAAACAGCUCAAAUUUAAAAUCUCCGUUGCUUGCAACGGCGAAUUGUAGUUUCGAGAAGCACUUUCUCGGCGGAUCCGAGGUCGUCCAAGUUGCUUGGAACAGCACGUCGUAGAGGGUGACAACCCCGUCUGCGGCGACCUCGGCCGUUCACGAUGUGCUUUCGACGAGUCGGGUUGUUUGGGAAUGCAGCCCAAAAUGGGUGGUAAACUCCAUCUAAAGCUAAAUAUUGGCACGAGACCGAUAGCGAACAAGUACCGUGAGGGAAAGAUGAAAAGCACUUUGAAAAGAGAGUUAAAAGUACGGAAACCGUAAAAGGGAAACGAAUG